Molecule: ribosomal RNA, 492 nt
Filed under: uncultured bacterium
Lineage: Bacteria
Description: partial 16S ribosomal RNA
Rfam family: Bacterial small subunit ribosomal RNA
Source: RNAcentral
AGUGAACGCUGGCGGUAGGCCUAACACAUGCAAGUCGAACGGCAGCACAGUAAGAGCUUGCUCUUACGGGUGGCGAGUGGCGGAUGGGUGAGGAAUACAUCGGAAUCUACUUAUUCUUGGGGGAUAACGUAGGGAAACUUACGCUAAUACCGCAUACGACCUACGGGAGAAAGCAAGGGAUCUACGAACCUUGUGCGGUUGAUUGAGCCGAUGUCGGAUUACCUAGUUGGCGGGGUAAAGGCCCACCAAGGCGACGAUCCGUAGCUGGUCUGAGAGGAUGAUCAGCCACACUGGAACUGAGACACGAUCCAGACUCCUACGGGAGGCAGCAGUGGGGAAUAUUGGACAAUGGGCGCAAGCCUGAUCCAGCCAUACCGCGUGGGUGAAGAAGGCCUUCGGGUUGUAGAGCCCUUUUGUUAGGAAAGAAAAGCAGCAGGUUAAUACCCCGCUGUUCUGACGGUACCCAAAGAAUGAGCCCCGGCUAACUUCGUG